GAACCAUGUGCCAGAGACACCGGAUGCACUUGCCGAGCACACCGCAACCUCCUGCUCGACUCGCCAGAACCACCUGCUGGAGAUGCCAAAAUCACCUGCUGGCUUGGCCAGAACCACGUGGCAGACUCUAUGGAAUGACAAGCCGGGCAUGCCGGAACCACCUCCCAGACCUGCCGGAAUCAUGUGCUGGACACGCUGGAACCACCUACUGGACAGACCGGAACCACAUACCGGACCUGCCUGAACCACCAGCCGAGCAUGCCGGACCCACCUGCUCGACUCGCAGGACCCACCUACCGGACAUGCCAAAAUCAGCUGCUGGCUAUGCCAGAAACAAUUGCCGGACAAUCCGGAAUCACCUGCCUGGCAUGCCGGAACCACCUCUCAAAUGUACCAGAACCACGUGCAAGAGACGCUGGAAGCACCUGCCAAGCAUGCCGGAACCACCUGAUCCACUCCCCAGAACCACCUGCCGGACCCGCCUGAACCACCUGCCGGCUAAGUGGGAACCACUUGGCGGACACUCCGGAAUCACCUGCCGUGCAUGCCGGAACCACCCCUCAGACGUGCCUGAAAAACGUGCCGGACACGCCAGAACCACCUCCUGGACUGACCGGAACCACCUUCCGGACAUGCCUGAACCACCUUAAGAGCACGCUGGAACCACCUUCUCGACUUGCUGGAACCAUCUGCCGGAUACGCCAAAAUCACCUGCCGGCUAUGCCAGAACCACUUGGCCGACACUCCGGAAUAACCUGCCGUUCAUGCCGGAACCGCCCCUCAGAUGUGCCAGAACCACGUGCUGGAUGCCCCAGACCACUUCCGUGAAAGACCGGAAGCACGUGCUGAGCAUGCCGGAAACACCUGCUCGACUCCCGGGAACCGCCUCCGGGGAAACUGUCAUAGAAAUGCAGGUCAAACGGCCUUUCUUGCCAAGCCUUAACUCGCCACUUUAGAACUUCUGCUUCUGCCACAAUUGCACCUUGCCCACCCGGCUCAGAUGAAAUGCCUACAUCUUCCCCUGAAGCAACUGGGCUGAGUCCCAAAUGAUUGAGCGUCCAUGUGCUUAGGAGCCGAUAGACUGUACGCCUUUUUCCAACCACCAUUGUGCACUGCUGGAGAAAGUGUCGGAAAGCAGCUAUGUCAGAAAGACCCCUUUGCUCUCAGCCGUGCCCUCCAUUGCUCUAGACGUGGAAUGCACAAUGCACUGGCUCCACCCCUCAAGGGGCAUCAAGCCACAGACCACCUUGCUUCCAUCUCUUUAGGAAGCUGAGAAGGAACUCGCUUUCAACAGUGAUCUUACAGCAUCCAGGGAACAUUUCAUACAAAGGCAGCUGAAACGCCGUUUCUUUUCAGCCCUUAACUCGCCGAUUUGGAACUUCUGUUUCUGCCACAUUUCCACCUUGCCAACCGAGCUCCGACGAAAUGCCUACAUCUUCCCCUUCAGCAACGGGGAUGAGGCCCAUAUGACUGUGCUUCCACAUGCUUAAGAGGAGAGAGACAAUAGGCUUUUUACACAUCACGAUUGUGCACUGGUGGAGAGAGUUUCAGAAUGCACCUAUGUCAGAAAGGUCCCUUUGAUCUCAGCCGUGCCCCGAAUUGCUCUAGAGGAGGAAGGCACAAUGCACUGGCUCUGGCUCCACCCCUCAGUGGCAGACGAACCACAAACCUUCUUGCGUCCAGCUCUUUAGGACGCUGAGAAAGAGCUCACAUUCCAUAGUGCUCUUAGAGCGUCCAGGGAACAUCUCAUACAAAGGCAGCUGAACACCGUUUCUUCCAGCACUUCACUCGCCAAUCUGGAACAUCUGCUUGUGCCACAUUUCCACCUUGUCAACCCGGCUCAGACGAAAUGCCUACAACUUCCCUUAAGCAAUGGGGACAAGGCCCAGAUGAUUGCGGUUCCACCUGCUUAGUAGGAGAGAGACAAUAGGCUUUUAACCAACCGCCCUUGAGCCAUGGUUGUGGGAGUGUCAGAAAGCACCAAUGUCAGAAAAGGCCCUUUGCUCUCAGCCGUGCCCUCCAUUGCUCUAGAGGUGGAAGGCACAAAGCACUGCCUCCAUCCUUCAAUUGGAGACAAGCCAUAAACUGUCCUGCUUCCAGCUCUUUAGGAAGAUGGGAAAGCACUCGCAUUCCACAGUGCUCUUACAGCAUCCUGGGAACAUCUCAUACAAAGGCAGCUGAACGCCCUGUCUUUUCAGCCCUUAACUCGCCAAUCUGCAACAUCCGUUCUGCCGCAUUUCCACCUUGCCAACCCGGCUCAGACAAAAUGCCUACAUCUUCCCCUGAAGCAACUGGGCUGAGUCCCAAAUGAUUGAGCGUCCACGUGCUUAGGAGGCAAUAGACUGCACGCCUUUUUCCAACCACCAUUGUGCACUGCUGCAGAGAGUGUCGGAAAGCAGCUAUGUCAGAAAGGCCCCUUUGCUCUCAGCCGUGCCCUCCAUUGCUCUAGAGGUGGAAGGCACAAAGCACUGCCUCCAUCCUUCAAUGGGAGACAAGCCAUAAACUGUCUUGCCUCCAGCUCUUUAGGAAGCUGAAAAACAACUCGCUUUCCACAGUCCUGUUACAGCAGACCAGGAACUUCUCAUACAAAGGCAGCUCAAAUGGCAUUUCUUCCCAGCCCUUAACUCGCAGCUUUAGAACUUCUGCUUCUGCCGCAAUUGCACCUUGCCAAUCCGGCUCAGG
This is a long non-coding RNA of Equus caballus (horse), 2682 nucleotides long. The record is from Ensembl. NCBI's taxonomy places the organism in Eukaryota, Metazoa, Chordata, Mammalia, Perissodactyla, Equidae.